RNAcentral lists this ribosomal RNA (254 nucleotides) under uncultured bacterium. RNAcentral's name for it is "partial 16S ribosomal RNA". It matches the Rfam family "Bacterial small subunit ribosomal RNA", at positions 524 to 776 of the family's 1533-position model. The record is from RNAcentral.
UACGGAGGGUGCAAGCGUUGUCCGGAUUUAUUGGGUUUAAAGGGUGCGUAGGCGGCUUUUUAAGUCAGUGGUGAAAUACAGCAGCUCAACUGUUGAGGUGCCAUUGAUACUGAGAGGCUUGAGUACAGAUGAGGUAGGCGGAAUUUAUGGUGUAGCGGUGAAAUGCAUAGAUACCAUAAAGAACACCGAUUGCGAAGGCAGCUUACUAAGCUGUAACUGACGCUGAGGCACGAAAGCGUGGGGGAGCGAACAGG